GGGCUGCAGUAUUUUGACUGUACAAAGGUAGCAUAAUCAAUAGUCUCUUAAUUGGUGACUUGUAUGAAAGAUUGGAUGAGAUAUAUACUGUCUCUAAUUAAUUAAUUGAAAUUAAUUUUUUAGUAAAAAAGCUAAAAUAAUUUUAAAAGACGAGAAGACCCUAUAGAGUUUAAUAAUUUAUUUGAUUAUUAUUAAUAUAUAAUUUUUAAAAUUAAAAUUAAAUAAAUUAUUUUGUUGGGGUGAUAAAAAAAUUAAAUUAACUUUUUUUUAUGAUUAACAUUAAUUUAUGAGUAAAUGAUCCAUUUAUAGUGAUUAAAAGAAAAAAUUACCUUAGGGAUAACAGCGUAAUUUUUUUUUUUAGUUCAAAUAGGAAAAAAAGUUUGCGACCUCGAUGUUGGAUUAA
RNAcentral lists this ribosomal RNA (403 nucleotides) under Papilio fuscus cilix. RNAcentral describes it as "partial 16S ribosomal RNA". RNAcentral also lists the same sequence under 1 other name. The record is from RNAcentral. Lineage: Eukaryota; Metazoa; Arthropoda; Insecta; Lepidoptera; Papilionidae.